This 315-nucleotide ribosomal RNA is filed under the name Triticum aestivum (bread wheat). RNAcentral's name for it is "partial small subunit ribosomal RNA". The record is from RNAcentral. Lineage: Eukaryota; Viridiplantae; Streptophyta; Magnoliopsida; Poales; Poaceae.
AUGGAUAAGGAGAUAUAUGAAGCUGUCGCUGAUUUGGGAAAUUUUUUUAGAGAGUUGUGUUGCAAAACUUUGAAGCUAGAUGUUUUAGAAAGACUUAAGGAAGAAAUCCCAGUUAUUCUUUGCAAACUCGAGAAAUUUUUUCCUCCAGCUUUCUUUGAUGUCAUGGUGCAUCUAGCCGUUCAUUUACCGGAUGAGGCAAUUCUUAGAGGCCCGGUGCAGUACGGAUGGAUGUAUCCAAUUGAGAGAAGGCUACUUACUUGUAAGCGUUAUGUGAGGAACAUGGCCAGACCUGAAGGAUCGAUUGCAGAAGAAUAG